CCAGGCGAAGCUGACUCGAUUCGACAAACAGUGAUAUUGUAUGAGAUACAAUAUAAAUGAUUUAGAUUAAAAAUUAUUUCGAGAUCUAAACUUAAAUCCAUGUACGUAAUGUACUUAAUUGAGAAUUAAGAUUUAAAAUUAUAAGAUCUAAAUUUAUGAAUUUAAGAUCUAAAUUUCAAUGCAUAAAAUAUGGACUUUGGAUAUGGAUUGAACAAAUUAGGUUUCGAGACUAAACUAUAACUAGGGUCAUUAAUUAGAUCAAGUUAGAAUUUCUUUUCGAUUUUGAGCAGUUGAUUGAACCUAAUCAAGAGUUGGUUAGGAUU
RNAcentral lists this long non-coding RNA (323 nucleotides) under Elaeis guineensis (African oil palm). RNAcentral's name for it is "long non-coding RNA (EGUI_LNC047696)". The record is from RNAcentral. Lineage: Eukaryota; Viridiplantae; Streptophyta; Magnoliopsida; Arecales; Arecaceae.